Molecule: long non-coding RNA, 2609 nt
Organism: Bos taurus (domestic cattle)
Lineage: Eukaryota; Metazoa; Chordata; Mammalia; Artiodactyla; Bovidae
Source: Ensembl
GCUGAGACCAUCCUGGUUCCCUGACUUAAGGGUGGCCAACCAGUCUGGAGGCUGGUCAGGGCCUAUAACUUAGGCUUGGAUUACAAAGAAGAGCUUAGAGCCAAGGGACACAGAGAAGUUGCCCAUUAGCUCCACAGAAGAGAGAAAAAUUUAUGUAGAUUUGGCAUCCGAGAUGGCCAUUAUGGGUUGGAUGACCAAAUGUAUCAGUUCACCCUGGGGAAUACCAGUGUGCCUCAGGUUAAUUAUGACUAGGGCCUCUUUUCACUCUCAUAAGUACUCUGGUUCGGAUGAAACAGUAUUCAGUCACUCAAAUUAUGGACCAUAUUAGGUGGUGGAGUGGCAGACGAAAAGAGAUGAGAGAGAAGACGGGAUCAGGCCUGGAACAGCGUUGCAGGCCAGGCAUAAGAGUUUGGAUUUUUAUCCUGAAGACAAUGGGGAUUUUUAACAUGGAACGUACGAGAUCAACUUUUGCCGUUACAAAGAUCACUUUGAUAAAGUGUGGGCAGCAGAUGAGAGAUGGGCUGAGGAGCUGAAGGUGAUCAGCUGACUGAACACUCCAGGCAAGAGGCAGGUGGUCUGAAUUAAACAAGUGACUGUAGAGAUGAGAAAAGCAGCUGUGUUCAAGGGAUAUCCAGGAGGAAGAUUUGAAAGGAUUUGGGAGACUGAUUAAAUUUGGGGGAUGAGGGAGAGAAAGGUGUUAAGGGUGAAUUUUUCUGCAUUUCACCAGUAAACAGCUGGUGGUGGCAGAAACACUGAGUGUGGCUUUGAACGUGCUGGUUUUGAAGACUGUAUACUCUGUUUGAGGCCUGGCACCUUUUAAACCUUGAAUCAUCUCCCACGGUGCCUUUGUGUAGCAGCUUGUUUGUGUAUAUUUGGUACUACAUGAUGGAAAAGAAAAAUUUUAAAGGCCUGUGAGAUUGACCACCAGAUCUCUGAUGAUCUUGGGAGAGUGUUUUCCCAUGGUGUGUUGGGGCAGAUGUCAGACUCCAGUGGUACAUGGAAUGGGGGAUGAAGGAAAAGCAAACCAGGAGCUGAAUCUACAAUCCGGGCUGCCUCACUUUCCACUAGCCCAUCUUCUCCUUCUUCGUUUGGAAGGCAGUGAAGCACCAUGACUGUGGAAGAUGCAGACCCAACUGGCUCUCUGGCUCAGCUUCUGGGAGCUGACCCUGGGCUUUCGAGGACAAUGCCAGCAGCUGGGACAGAGGUGAAGUCACUGUCACCAAGCCAUCAUCUGUCAAGGCUCCCCAGCCCCAUCCUGAGCUUACACGGCCCCCUGACCCGCCAGUCCUUAUUGCUGAGGCCAAGGGGAAGGAGAGAGAGAGACCUGGGCUAAAGGCUGGUGGGAGACACAGUCAGAAGAGAGAGAAGUGGAGCAGCAAAACCUGCUGAGGAGACCUGGCAGGGAGGCUGUCAGCCUGUUCAUCUUCAUGCUCGGGGCUGAGGCUGUGGCGGAAGGCACCACCCGGACUGUCAUUUGGACAAAUGCAUCUGUCAAACCCUGCAGGCACCAGUUCUGGCUUUCAGGGGCUCUGAUCCCAUUCCCUGCUGGCCCUUGUCCUCUGCCCCCACAGUGAGAUUGGCCUGUGUAUGUGUGGUGUGUGAUGUUUCCACAUUAAAGGAGCAGAAAGACGGAAGCCCUGGUGUCCAUCUGUAGCAGGAGCUCAGCCCAGGACUGUGUCCUCUCUCUCUCUCUCCCUGUAGCUGCUCUGAAGUCCUCUCCCCCAGACUGCUGGCAAAGCUGCAGAGCUUCUGACUCAGUGACAUUUUAUAAGAUCACUGUGUUCUUUCUUCAGAGCCAUUUGAGAUGGAAGUGGGAACAGGAAGCCCACUAUCUCAGAGGACAGGACCAAGGAUGGUGCUCCCCAACUGACGGAGGGCUGCAGGGAGUCAGAGCCCUGGGGGAGUGGUGGUAGGAGCCAACACCCUUGUGUUCCAGCCUGGCAUCAGGUACUAUCACGUGUUAUCUUUUCUUUUAACCCCCUCAAUUAUACCACGACGUGGGUAAAAUUACCCCCAUUUACAGGGAGAGGAAGUUGAAGCUGAGAGAGAGAAAGGUGAUUUACCUAAGGUCAUUCAGUGACUAGGAGGCCUCAAUAAUCUUUAACACCAGUCUUUUCCAAUUCUCCAUGUUGACUCUUCCUGUAUGCCUUGCAGCCUCCAAGCUUUCCCAUGAACCAGAGUUCCCAGGACACAUCACUGGUUUAUAAGGCAGUAUCGAAUGGCAUGAACUUAGUGGGGCUUACACAUGUACGGUGGUCAUCAUGCCUGUCUAAAUCUAGGCUCUGUCAGAAAUUCUCCUGGAAAGAUGGAUGAACACCAGGCUGAAUUGGCCGCCUCCAUGCCUAUGGGCAUGGAUGAGUGUUACACACAUAAUCAGACAGACACACACCCCUACCAAAGAAUCUCGGAGCUGGAGAAGAAUUGGUUGAUCAUUUAAUCCAAAUCCCUGACUCAUCAAAGUUCUAGUCACUAGACAUUUUCUAGUCUGUGCUUGGAGAUUUAUAGAAUGUAAGAAUUUUUACAAAGGGAAGAAUUAUAAGAAAUAGUAACAAGUGGGGUGUGGCCCCAAUGGUGCACAGGCUUACCCUGUAAACACCCAGCCUAUAUGG